Molecule: ribosomal RNA, 383 nt
Filed under: uncultured eukaryote
Lineage: Eukaryota
Description: partial 18S ribosomal RNA
Rfam family: Eukaryotic small subunit ribosomal RNA
Source: RNAcentral
CAAUAGCGUAUAUUAAAGUUGUUGCAGUUAAAAAGCUCGUAGUUGGAUUUCUGGCAGGAGCGACCGGUCACACACUCUGUGUGUGAACUUGCGUUGUCUCUGGCCAUCCUUGGGAAGAUCCUGUUUGGCAUUAAGUUGUCGGGCAGGGGAUACCCAUCGUUUACUGUGAAAAAAUUAGAGUGUUUAAAGCAGGCUUAUGCCGUUGAAUAUAUUAGCAUGGAAUAAUAAGAUAGGACUUCGGAACUAUUUUGUUGGUUUGCGUUACGAAGUAAUGAUUAAUAGGGACAGUUGGGGGUAUUCGUAUUUCGUUGUCAGAGGUGAAAUUCUUGGAUUUCCGAAAGACGAACUACUGCGAAAGCACUUACCAAGGAUGUUUUCAUUAA